ACGAACGCUGGCGGCGUGCUUAACACAUGCCAGUCGAACGGUGAAGCGCCUUCCUUUUUGGUGGGGGUGGAUGAGUGGCGAACGGGUGAGUAACACGUGAGUAACCUGCCCCCUUCUUCUGGAUAACCGCAUGAAAGUGUGGCUAAUACGGGAUAUUCUGGGUCUGUCGCAUGAUGGGUCUGGGAAAGAUAUUGUUUCGGGGGGGGAUGGGCUCGCGGCCUAUCAGCUUGUUGGUGGGGUGAUGGCCUACCAAGGCGGUGACGGGUAGCCGGCCUGAGAGGGUGGACGGUCACACUGGGACUGAGACACGGCCCAGACUCCUACGGGAGGCAGCAGUGGGGAAUAUUGCACAAUGGGCGCAAGCCUGAUGCAGCGACGCCGCGUGAGGGAUGGAGGCCUUCGGGUUGUGAACCUCUUUCGCCAGUGAAGCAGGCCUGCCUCGUUUGUGGGUGGGUUGACGGUAGCUGGAUAAGAAGCGCCGGCUAACUACGUG
This 493-nucleotide ribosomal RNA is filed under the name uncultured bacterium. Its description in RNAcentral is "partial 16S ribosomal RNA". It matches the Rfam family "Bacterial small subunit ribosomal RNA", at positions 29 to 507 of the family's 1533-position model. The record is from RNAcentral.